This is a non-coding RNA of Gossypium hirsutum (cotton), 145 nucleotides long. The record is from Rfam. Lineage: Eukaryota; Viridiplantae; Streptophyta; Magnoliopsida; Malvales; Malvaceae.
UUAUAAAAAAAUUAUUCAUUUUUAUUGUUAAAAAUUAGUGUAGUUGACGGAAUAAUUAGACAAUUACACGUGGCAUGCCACCUGCACCAUAUACUAACGCACAUGAACUAGUUUUUAAUAAUAAAAAUGGAUGAAAUUGUUAACA